GAUGAACGCUGGCGGCGUGCCUAAUGCAUGCAAGUCGAGCGAACGGACGAGAAGCUUGCUUCUCUGAUGUUAGCGGCGGACGGGUGAGUAACACGUGGAUAACCUACCUAUAAGACUGGGAUAACUUCGGGAAACCGUAGCUAAUACCGGAUAAUAUUUUGAACCGCAUGGUUCAAAAGUGAAAGACGGUCUUGCUGUCACUUAUAGAUGGAUCCGCGCUGCAUUAGCUAGUUGGUAAGGUAACGGCUUACCAAGGCAACGAUGCAUAGCCGACCUGAGAGGGUGAUCGGCCACACUGGAACUGAGACACGGUCCAGACUCCUACGGGAGGCAGCAGUAGGGAUCUUCCGCAAUGGGCGAAAGCCUGACGGAGCAACGCCGCGUGAGUGAUGAAGGUCUUCGGAUCGUAAAACUCUGUUAUUAGGGAAGAACAUAUGUGUAAGUAACUGUGCACAUCUUGACGGUACCUAAUCAGAAAGCCACGGCUAACUACGUG
This 496-nucleotide ribosomal RNA is filed under the name uncultured bacterium. Its description in RNAcentral is "partial 16S ribosomal RNA". It matches the Rfam family "Bacterial small subunit ribosomal RNA", at positions 28 to 507 of the family's 1533-position model. The record is from RNAcentral.